AUCGCUUCUCGGCCUUUUGGCUAAGAUCAAAGUGUAGUAUCUGUUCUUACGCUAGGGUUUUAGUCAAGUAAUGUGGAUUAAUAUCCGGCAUUAAUGGGUAGCGAGAACGCCUC
Small nuclear RNA from Lottia gigantea (owl limpet), 113 nucleotides. It matches the Rfam family "U2 spliceosomal RNA". From Rfam's summary of the family: U2 is a small nuclear RNA (snRNA) component of the spliceosome (involved in pre-mRNA splicing). Complementary binding between U2 snRNA (in an area lying towards the 5' end but 3' to hairpin I) and the branchpoint sequence (BPS) of the intron results the bulging out of an unpaired adenosine, on the BPS, which initiates a nucleophilic attack at the intronic 5' splice site, thus starting the first of two transesterification reactions that mediate splicing. The record is from Rfam. NCBI's taxonomy places the organism in Eukaryota, Metazoa, Mollusca, Gastropoda, Lottiidae.